This 535-nucleotide ribosomal RNA is filed under the name uncultured bacterium. RNAcentral describes it as "bacterial SSU rRNA". It matches the Rfam family "Bacterial small subunit ribosomal RNA", at positions 776 to 1307 of the family's 1533-position model. The record is from RNAcentral.
AAAUAGAUACCCCGGGUAGUCCACGCCGUAAACGAUGAGUGCUAAGUGUUGGGGGGGUUUCCGCCCCUCAGUGCUGCAGCUAACGCAUUAAGCACUCCGCCUGGGGAGUACGGCCGCAAGGCUGAAACUCAAAGGAAUUGACGGGGGGCCCGCACAAGCGGUGGAGCAUGUGGUUUAAUUCGAAGCAACGCGAAGAACCUUACCAGGUCUUGACAUCCCGCUGCCCGGUAUAGAGAUAUAUCUUUCCCUUCGGGGACAGCGGUGACAGGUGGUGCAUGGUUGUCGUCAGCUCGUGUCGUGAGAUGUUGGGUUAAGUCCCGCAACGAGCGCAACCCUUGAUCUUAGUUGCCAGCAUUUAGUUGGGCACUCUAAGGUGACUGCCGGUGACAAACCGGAGGAAGGUGGGGAUGACGUCAAAUCAUCAUGCCCCUUAUGACCUGGGCUACACACGUGCUACAAUGGAUGGUACAAAGGGCUGCAAGACCGCGAGGUUAGCCAAUCCCAUAAAACCAUUCUCAGUUCGGAUUGCAGGCUG